CCGAAAGUGGACUGAUUUAAUUGCCUUGUACACAUAAGGCUGGAUUGCAACCACGUAAAAAAGUGCUAAAACCAACGCU
Molecule: non-coding RNA, 79 nt
Organism: Mucilaginibacter lappiensis
Lineage: Bacteria; Pseudomonadati; Bacteroidota; Sphingobacteriia; Sphingobacteriales; Sphingobacteriaceae
Source: Rfam